UACGUAGGGGGCAAGCGUUGUCCGGAUUCAUUGGGCGUAAAGAGCUCGUAGGCGGCUUGGCAAGUCGGGUGUGAAACCUCCAGGCUCAACCUGGAGACGCCACCCGAUACUGCCGGGCUAGAGUCCGGAAGAGGCGAGUGGAACUCCUGGUGUAGCGGUGGAAUGCGCAGAUAUCAGGAAGAACACCAACGGCGAAGGCAGCUCGCUGGGACGGUACUGACGCUGAGACGCGAAAGCGUGGGGAGCGAACAGG
This 253-nucleotide ribosomal RNA is filed under the name uncultured bacterium. RNAcentral's name for it is "partial 16S ribosomal RNA". It matches the Rfam family "Bacterial small subunit ribosomal RNA", at positions 524 to 776 of the family's 1533-position model. The record is from RNAcentral.